AACGAACGCUGGCGGCAGGCCUCAAACAUGCAAGUCUAGGGGGUGUAGCAAUACAUCACCGGCGGACGGGUGCGUAACGCGUGGGAAUAUACCUAUCGAUUCGGAACAACUGAGGGAAACUUCAGCUAAUACCGAAUACGUCCUAACGGAGAAAGAUUUAUCGUCGAUAGAUUAGCCCGCGUUCGAUUAGCUAGUUGGUGGGGUAACGGCCCACCAAGGCGACGAUCGAUAGCUGUUCUGAGAGGAAGAUCAGCCACACUGGGACUGAGACACGGCCCAGACUCCUACGGGAGGCAGCAGUUGGGAAUCUUGGACAAUGGGGGAAACCCUGAUCCAGCCAUGCCGCGUGUAGGAAGAAGGCCUUCUGGGUUGUAAACUGCUUUUGCCGGGGGAUAAAGAUCCAUGCGUGGAGAAUUGAAGGUACCCGGUGAAUAAGCCACGGCUAACUACGUGCC
Molecule: ribosomal RNA, 455 nt
Filed under: uncultured bacterium
Lineage: Bacteria
Description: bacterial SSU rRNA
Rfam family: Bacterial small subunit ribosomal RNA
Source: RNAcentral